AUUUAUAUAGUAUAAUUAUUACAUUUAAUUUCCAAUUAAAAAAUUUAUUAAAAUAAUAUAAAUA
Molecule: transfer RNA, 64 nt
Filed under: Anastatus shichengensis
Lineage: Eukaryota; Metazoa; Arthropoda; Insecta; Hymenoptera; Eupelmidae
Description: tRNA-Gly
Source: RNAcentral